AUGGCCAAAUUACGCUGAAACACCGGUUCGCGUAUGCUCACCGAAUUUAAAAAACGUCGAGCCUGGUCAGUACUUAGAUCGGUGACCGCUUGGGAAUACCAGGUGCUGUAAGC
Non-coding RNA from Acanthosepion pharaonis, 113 nucleotides. The record is from the annotation of a GenBank genome assembly. Lineage: Eukaryota; Metazoa; Mollusca; Cephalopoda; Sepiida; Sepiidae.